UUUGAGGUUACCUCUUAGUCCAUCAAUUGUGACGUCCGUGAUUCCUAUCGACUCUUGGAUGGCAUUGGCUUUGGAACGCCAUUCGGGAGUGAGACUUCGCAGGAUUUUUCGAACAAGAUCUUUGUUCGAAUAUACUUUCCCAAGAGCAUGGAGAUCGUUGAUGAUCAUUGAAAAUCGAUCAAACAUAUCAUCGAUGCUUUCAGGCUCCUUCAUUCUAAAGAGUUCAUAUUCAUGUGUUAGAAAAUCAACUCUUGCUUCUCGGACUAGAGACGUACCUUCAUA
RNAcentral lists this long non-coding RNA (282 nucleotides) under Nicotiana benthamiana. RNAcentral's name for it is "long non-coding RNA (NBEN_LNC038521)". Lineage: Eukaryota; Viridiplantae; Streptophyta; Magnoliopsida; Solanales; Solanaceae. The record is from RNAcentral.